CUUGAGCCAGCACAUGCAUGUAGGUCACACUGGUGGCUAGGAAUAGCCUCUGAGGCAGAGGAAACACCAGGGACCCCUGUUCAGACAAAGGUGUAGAAUCAGCCCAUUGAUAACAUCUUGAUAUUCUGCUUUCAGAUUAUUUUAUGGGAGCCAUUUGCAGUAGGCAGAAGCACUGGUUUGGAAAAUACUGGCAGGCAAACAUAGUGCUCUAGAAGAUGGAAAUAAUGGUCUAUACCUGGGCCUCUAGAACACCUGGAGACUCUAAGGAUACUGGUGAAUAUUAGCAUACUGGGCUUCAAGGUCUUAUUGCUUAUUUUCUGGAAUUCAACAUCAAUUGAUCUUCUGGAAGUGAGCCACGCACUGGGGUGCAAUCUAGGCCUUGCUCACUGGACUUGGAAGUUCAAACAGCUCCCAUCCAGAAAGGACCAUCUUGGGGGCGACAAACAGGGUGCAGUGGAGGGGUCACAGUCAGAAGAGCCAGUGCAGGCUGCUGGAGAGCAGGAAAGGGGUGGCUCCUGCCUCCUGACCACCAAGAGCACUUUCUGGACUCAGGGAUCUGCGAGUUUGAGUGAGAAUUAGCUUAAGAUUGCAAAAGAUCAUCCCUGUGCAGCUGCCAAGAUUGCUACCUACCAGGGGGCAAGUGUUUUGUAAGUUGGCUGGACACACCUAUGUGUAUUUAAGCACAGCAAUACAAUGAAAAUGAAACCUUACAUCCAACUCCAAUCCAUUCAGCUGAUAAAAAUGGAGCUGCUUUGGUUGAGUUUUGACUGUGGUGACUGAGCAUUUCUCUUGAUUGGCCUUCACCCCAC
This 809-nucleotide long non-coding RNA is filed under the name Vulpes vulpes (red fox). RNAcentral describes it as "lncRNA (ENSVVUG00000004479.1)". Lineage: Eukaryota; Metazoa; Chordata; Mammalia; Carnivora; Canidae. The record is from RNAcentral.